AGAGCAGCCCCAAAUCUUCGCCCUCCCGCACGGCAUCUACCGCCACCCGAUCCACCUUGGAAGACGGGUCUGGGGAGCAGUUGGGCCGCGCCGGGGGGACGGGGCGUAGAGAUUCGGGCCCGACCCUGGUCCCAGCCCGCCUGAGAAGGCUGGAGGUGGGUGUUUCCGUCCCGGACGGCCUUCCCGCCCGGGAGCGCGGCGGCUGGACUGGCAGGCGGAUGGCGGGAGGAAGGGCAGCCUCUUCUGGGCUUCAGAAGCCGGAGAAAUUAAAAUAAUGCUCCUGCUCCCUCGCAGGUUGAGGGGCAAAGCUGCUGGUGUGACCCUGGCUGGGCCCCCAUCGAUCCCUUUCCGGUGUUUUGGGUUUCUCUUUUCUUGCCCUCGGAUUAUGUGACUUUACUAGACGAUACGUUAAAAAUGUUAUUUAAAGAAAUGAGACCCUAGCUGCCUGAAAACCGAGACCGAGCCCGUUUGGUACAACCACAACGCCGAGCUCUCCAGCGCCAGGAGGAGGCCCGAGGAGGCCCCAAGGUUCGCAGCCCCAGGCCCCGAGACCACCGGGGACACCUCUCCCUGAGGAUCCAGGGCCCAAACCAAACAGCAAGUACAAUUCUGAGAACUGUGGAACUUCAUCCUUUCUUUUAAAGAUUCUUCUGCCUUUGCUUGAUGGAAUCUUGUGAAGGCAGAAUAUUUAGACUUCUGCCCAACUCGCAACUAGUUGGCCUUCAAACCUGCACUGUCAUUGCCCUGGUCUUUUCCCAAAGGGAAGGUGCUGGACUGACCAUCACGAUGGCGCCUAGAGAGGAUGGACAACUGCUUCCUGCACACCAUGAUGAUAAGUGUGUGAAUCCUCCUGCCUACACUAGCUGGGUGAUUAUAACAAUAAUAACUCAGACAGCUUUGGACUUUGCAAUGAUUUUAUAAUCCAGCAAGUGUCCAGUAGGACAGAAUUGGAGGUAGCAAGGUUCAUACUGGAGAAAUAAUGAAUAAAAUCAGACAUAGCCCAGGAGGCCAGGGCGGGGUCCCACUAGUGUUUGGAUGGAAGAUGUCCAAGUGACAUCUGUCCCAAGCUGGGACAGCUUCCAGGACUGGAUCUGCAUGGAAUCCAAACCAGGAGA
Molecule: long non-coding RNA, 1115 nt
Filed under: Sus scrofa (pig)
Lineage: Eukaryota; Metazoa; Chordata; Mammalia; Artiodactyla; Suidae
Description: lncRNA (ENSSSCG00065008923.1)
Source: RNAcentral